RNAcentral lists this ribosomal RNA (492 nucleotides) under uncultured bacterium. Its description in RNAcentral is "partial 16S ribosomal RNA". It matches the Rfam family "Bacterial small subunit ribosomal RNA", at positions 29 to 507 of the family's 1533-position model. The record is from RNAcentral.
AGUGAACGCUGGCGGUAGGCCUAACACAUGCAAGUCGAACGGCAGCACAGUAAGAGCUUGCUCUUACGGGUGGCGAGUGGCGGACGGGUGAGGAAUACAUCGGAAUCUACUCUUUCGUGGGGGAUAACGUAGGGAAACUUACGCUAAUACCGCAUACGACCUACGGGUGAAAGCAGGGGAUCUUCGGACCUUGCGCGAUUGAAUUAGCCGAUGUCGGAUUAGCUAGUUGGCGGGGUAAAGGCCCACCAAGGCGACGAUCCGUAGCUGGUCUGAGAGGAUGAUCAGCCACACUGGAACUGAGACACGGUCCAGACUCCUACGGGAGGCAGCAGUGGGGAAUAUUGGACAAAGGGCGCAAGCCUGAUCCAGCCAUACCGCGUGGGUGAAGAAGGCCUUCGGGUUGUAAAGCCCUUUUGUUGGGAAAGAAAAGCAGCAGGUUAAUACCCCGCUGUUCUGACGGUACCCAAAGAAUAAGCACCGGCUAACUUCGUG